AAUUUUUUGGUUUAGUGGGAAAAUGUUAGGUUUACCCCUAGAAUAGGUUGAGGGUUCGAACCCCACUAGCGGUA
Molecule: non-coding RNA, 74 nt
Organism: Meloidogyne enterolobii
Lineage: Eukaryota; Metazoa; Nematoda; Chromadorea; Rhabditida; Meloidogynidae
Source: the annotation of a GenBank genome assembly